AAAAAAUUAAUCAAACUUUUGUUUCUUUUUAUUAUUUUCAAUUAUUAUCUUUUUCUUUUUUUUCUUUUUUUUCAUUUUAAAA
This 82-nucleotide non-coding RNA is filed under the name Paramoeba aestuarina. The record is from RNAcentral. Lineage: Eukaryota; Discosea; Flabellinia; Dactylopodida; Paramoebidae.